UACGUAGGGUGCAAGCGUUAUCCGGAAUUAUUGGGCGUAAAGAGCUCGUAGGCGGUUUGUCGCGUCUGCUGUGAAAACGCGAGGCUCAACCUCGCGCCUGCAGUGGGUACGGGCAGACUAGAGUGCGGUAGGGGAGAUUGGAAUUCCUGGUGUAGCGGUGAAAUGCGCAGAUAUCAGGAGGAACACCGGUGGCGAAGGCGGCUCACUGGCUCAUUACUGACGCUCAGGCGCGACAGCGUGGGGAUCAAACAGG
RNAcentral lists this ribosomal RNA (253 nucleotides) under uncultured bacterium. RNAcentral's name for it is "partial 16S ribosomal RNA". It matches the Rfam family "Bacterial small subunit ribosomal RNA", at positions 524 to 776 of the family's 1533-position model. The record is from RNAcentral.